Molecule: ribosomal RNA, 364 nt
Filed under: Salmonella enterica
Lineage: Bacteria; Pseudomonadati; Pseudomonadota; Gammaproteobacteria; Enterobacterales; Enterobacteriaceae
Also listed under: 3 other names
Description: bacterial SSU rRNA
Rfam family: Bacterial small subunit ribosomal RNA
Source: RNAcentral
AAAUUGAAGAGUUUGAUCAUGGCUCAGAUUGAACGCUGGCGGCAGGCCUAACACAUGCAAGUCGAACGGUAACAGGAAGCAGCUUGCUGCUUCGCUGACGAGUGGCGGACGGGUGAGUAAUGUCUGGGAAACUGCCUGAUGGAGGGGGAUAACUACUGGAAACGGUGGCUAAUACCGCAUAACGUCGCAAGACCAAAGAGGGGGACCUUCGGGCCUCUUGCCAUCAGAUGUGCCCAGAUGGGAUUAGCUUGUUGGUGAGGUAACGGCUCACCAAGGCGACGAUCCCUAGCUGGUCUGAGAGGAUGACCAGCCACACUGGAACUGAGACACGGUCCAGACUCCUACGGGAGGCAGCAGUGGGGAA